AUGGCGGCGUCCGACAUGGUUAGACUACAGCUUCAGUUUGACUCCCCGCCGCCAGUCACCCGGAAUUGUACUGUCUUCUGGCUUCUGGUAGACACGAACAGAUGCCAAGUCGUCACGGAUCUCAUUCGUCUCAUCCGCCAGCGCUUCGGCUUCAGUUCCGGCGCCGUCCUGGGCCUCUACCUGGACGGGAGACUCUUGCCUCCCGCCGAGAGCGCGCGCCUGGUGCGGGACAACGACCGCCUCAGAGUCAAGUUAGAAGACGGCGAAGUUCCCGAGCUUCCUGCCCCGGUCAGCAGUCGGGGCGAUACUCACUUCCUGCCGGUGAAAGCCGGGGAGCGGCCUUCGAAGCUGGAGGCGGAUCCAGAGGCCGAGCGAGGUCGCGUCCUCUCGGAGCAGCCCCGGAAGAGGCGGGAGAACAGCCGCGGGAAGGAGGAGGCGUCGGAGCCGCACGCAGACGCCGUGCCGGGUGGGCCUGUGAGGAAGAAAAGCAAGCGGGGAAACGAGGCGGCCUGUGACAACGCGGGGGAUGACGAGGACGGAGAGACCAGACGGAAGUCACCCACGAAGAAGCGUGAGUGUGAAAAGCAGACCAAGAACCGCGGGCCUCCGAAAGCACAGGCGGUCCUAGGGCGGAGCGCCCCGAGCUGUAGUCCCGGCAAAGGCUCUGCCGGCAACCUCGUGGGCAAAGCCCGAAGGAAAGGCGGGGGCAGCGCUGAGGCCGAGGACAGUCCCGCUUCCUCCUCCGGGUCGGAGUCUUCUUGCGGCUCAGGCAGCGAUCGGCUCAGCAGCGCCACGCCGGAGGCCGGCAGCUCCCCCGAGAAGCUGGCGGCCGAGUUACCAAAGGAAGGGCCCUCUGCAGAAAACACAGCUGCCAACAAACUGUGUACGAAAGCCGCCCUUAACCUCGAUUCUGGCAAGGGCAAGGCCCCCAGGGCCUCGUCGUCGUCAUCCAGUUUGGACUCCAGUUGGGAAUCGGGUGAUGAGCCCGUGGCCCCCAAGCUGGCGCCGGAGCGCUGGAGCAGCUUCUCCAAAACAGCCGGCCUCCUGUCAGGAAGGGCCUACCCCGGGCCAGGGCCAUCCCCGCGCACGCCGGCUGCCACGGGCUGGAAGCCUUCUGACCCAAGCCACGACAGACAGCCUGUCCCUCUGCCCAGCUUCGGCAGAGGAUGGGGGCGAGGAGAGGACUUUGUUUUCUGGAAGGGAGCGAGAGGUCAAGGCCAAGCUCUGUCCUGUGUCUUAAAUAAAAACUCGGAGUGUCAGAAGCAGCAGCAACUCCAUGAGAUCGUAACAAACUCAUCUACUAUCAUCCAGCUUUUGGAACUAACAUCAGAUUAUUCUCCUGAUGUCUCUGACUAUAAGGAAGGAAAACUAUUAAGCCACAAUCCAGAGACCCAGCAAGUAGAUAUAGAAAUCCUGUCAGCCUUACCGGCCGUGAAGGAACCUGGGAAAUUUGACUUGGUUUAUCACAAUGAAAAUGGAACCGAGGUCGUGGAGUAUGCUGUGAUGCAGGAGAAGAAGAUCACUGUUUUCUGGAGAGAGUUGAUUGACCCAAGAUUGAUUAUUGAACCCACUAGUACCACCUCCAGUACUGAACUCCAGAAUCUGACCGCUGAGCCUCAUGGUCUAUAAAUGUCCUGCUUGUGAAGGGGACUGCAACUUGAGCUUUUUUAAAAAAGAAGAUUUAGAAGUUGUAUGUAUUCUUUGUUACCUUCAUUUUACUGUGUAGAAAAAAAAAUCUACCUCAACAUUUAACAUUGAAUGUUGGUUUGUAGACCUUUCCUUUCUUCAGGUUAACUUCAGUUAACAAAAUUUAAAACAUAACAUUCCCAACAGGCGCUGUUACUUGUUUGGUUUCUUUAUCCUGUUUUUUCGACCAUCAGAGUAUAUCGGCUGUAGAUUUAUAAUUCCAAGUGCAAGAACAGGCUGCAUAUCUUGUCUCGACAAGUUUUAUUAAGUAACAUUUUAAAAAUUAAAAUAUGUUGCUUUACCUAAUUUUUUAACGUUUGAGUUGUUCCCUUAAAUGUGGAACAUCUUAUAGAUUUCAAGUAUUUUAUACUUGUAGUUGCCAAGAAUUAACAGGCGGUUGGGUUUGUUGCGGGCAAUGAGUUAAGGGAUCCUUUCACCAUUUUUCCAUCUUGAAAGUUAAGGAUGUUCAGGGGGACCUGUGCGGAGCAGUGAAAAUAAAACCUCACAUGUGCUUGGAAAGGAGCUGGAGAGCAUUCAGGAGAGAGGAUUUGCCACGCACCUCCCAGCAGCGAAUGUGCUGUCCCUGCAAUUUGCAGAGCACCUGGCUCAGUGCUGGAGUGAGGAUCUUGAAGAGAAACUGCCCUUGCUGUUAUUCAGAAGCUAAAGUGGCUGAAUAUAUGACAUGAAAAUCGCUUUCUUUUAACAACAGAUGAGAUCCCACCUUGAGCUUUGCAAAUUUCUAAAUAAAAUCAUAUUGAACUUUAAAAAUAUAACAAUAUAAGCCAUUUUAUUAGCACAUUCACAGUGUUCUUUCAUAAAACAACUAUAAAUUCAUGAGGCCACAAGUAAUAAUAAUUGUAAUUAACAUUUAUUGUCUGUCGUGUCUAAUUCAGUUCCAGCAUUUUUCUCUUGAGUUAACAAGUUUAAACAUCAUCUAUUAAAUUCCUA
Molecule: long non-coding RNA, 2634 nt
Organism: Chinchilla lanigera (long-tailed chinchilla)
Lineage: Eukaryota; Metazoa; Chordata; Mammalia; Rodentia; Chinchillidae
Source: Ensembl